This 497-nucleotide ribosomal RNA is filed under the name uncultured bacterium. Its description in RNAcentral is "partial 16S ribosomal RNA". It matches the Rfam family "Bacterial small subunit ribosomal RNA", at positions 28 to 507 of the family's 1533-position model. The record is from RNAcentral.
GAUGAACGCUGGCGGCGUGCCUAAUACAUGCAAGUCGAGCGAACGGACGAGAAGCUUGCUUCUCUGAUGUUAGCGGCGGACGGGUAAGUAACACGUGGAUAACCUACCUAUAAGACUGGGAUAACUUCGGGAAACCGGAGCUAAUACCGGAUAAUAUUUUGAACCGCAUGGUUCAAGAGUGAAAGACGGUCUUGCUGUCACUUAUAGAUGGAUCCGCGCUGCAUUAGCUAGUUGGUAAGGUAACGGCUUACCAAGGCAACGAUGCAUAGCCGACCUGAGAGGGUGAUCGGCCACACUGGAACUGAGACACGGUCCAGACUCCUACGGGAGGCAGCAGUAGGGAAUCUUCCGCAAUGGGCGAAAGCCUGACGGAGCAACGCCGCGUGAGUGAUGAAGGUCUUCGGAUCGUAAAACUCUGUUAUUAGGGAAGAACAUAUGUGUAAGUAACUGUGCACAUCUUGACGGUACCUAAUCAGAAAGCCACGGCUAACUACGUG